UACGUAGGGUGCAAGCGUUAAUCGGAAUUACUGGGCGUAAAGCGUGCGCAGGCGGUCGUGCAAGACAGAUGUGAAAUCCCCGGGCUUAACCUGGGAACUGCAUUUGUGACUGCACGGCUGGAGUGCGGCAGAGGGGGAUGGAAUUCCGCGUGUAGCAGUGAAAUGCGUAGAUAUCUGGAGGAACACCGGUGGCGAAGGCGGCAUCCUGGACCGACACUGACGCUGAGGAGCGAAAGCCAGGGGAGCAAACGGG
RNAcentral lists this ribosomal RNA (253 nucleotides) under uncultured bacterium. RNAcentral describes it as "partial 16S ribosomal RNA". It matches the Rfam family "Bacterial small subunit ribosomal RNA", at positions 524 to 776 of the family's 1533-position model. The record is from RNAcentral.